UGGGGAAUCUUGCGCAAUGGGCGAAAGUCUGACGCAGCGACGCCGCGUGAGGGAAGAAGGCCUUCGGGUUGUAAACCUCUUUCAGGAGGGACGAAGCCACUCGGGUUAAUACCCCAGAGGGUGACGGUACCUCCAGAAGAAGCCCCGGCUAACUACGUGCCAGCAGCCGCGGUAAUACGCAGGGGGCAAGCGUUGUCCGGAAUUAUUGGGCGUAAAGCGCGUGUAGGCGGCCAGAUAAGUCCGCUGUGAAAUCUCGAGGCUCAACUUCGAGCUGUCGGUGGAAACUGUCUGGCUAGAGUGCGGAAGAGGGGAAUGGAAUUCCUGGUGUAGCGGUGAAAUGCGCAGAUAUCAGGAAGAGCACCCGUGGCGAGGGCGGUUCUCUGGGACGGUACUGACGCUGAGACGCGAGAGCGUGGGGAGCGAACAGG
This 428-nucleotide ribosomal RNA is filed under the name bacterium. Its description in RNAcentral is "partial 16S ribosomal RNA". It matches the Rfam family "Bacterial small subunit ribosomal RNA", at positions 355 to 776 of the family's 1533-position model. The record is from RNAcentral.